AGUGAACGCUGGCGGUAGGCCUAACACAUGCAAGUCGAACGGCAGCACAGGAGAGCUUGCUCUCUGGGUGGCGAGUGGCGGACGGGUGAGGAAUACAUCGGAAUCUACUCUGUCGUGGGGGAUAACGUAGGGAAACUUACGCUAAUACCGCAUACGACCUACGGGUGAAAGCAGGGGACCUUCGGGCCUUGCGCGAUUGAAUGAGCCGAUGUCGGAUUAGCUAGUUGGCGGGGUAAAGGCCCGCCAAGGCGACGAUCCGUAGCUGGUCUGAGAGGAUGAUCAGCCACACUGGAACUGAGACACGGUCCAGACUCCUACGGGAGGCAGCAGUGGGGAAUAUUGGACAAUGGGCGCAAGCCUGAUCCAGCCAUACCGCGUGGGUGAAGAAGGCCUUCGGGUUGUAAAGCCCUUUUGUUGGGAAAGAAAUCCAGCUGGCUAAUACCCGGUUGGGAUGACGGUACCCAAAGAAUAAGCACCGGCUAACUACGUGCCAGCAGCCGCCGUAA
This 506-nucleotide ribosomal RNA is filed under the name uncultured bacterium. Its description in RNAcentral is "partial 16S ribosomal RNA". It matches the Rfam family "Bacterial small subunit ribosomal RNA", at positions 29 to 523 of the family's 1533-position model. The record is from RNAcentral.